GAAAAAAACCUUGGGAGAAACCAGGCUUAGUCGGGGUGCCAGUUCUCCUCUGGCCAACAGUGCUUUGUUACAAUUCAGGUUGCUAUCAUAAGUCCAAUAGGAUCGCAACAUUAAAAGUAUUUAUUUCAGUUCCAUCCAAUUGAGGAUCGAACUAGCACAACUUUGUCAAAAAAAAUAGCUGGUGAACUGGCAGAAAAGAUCAUUGAAAUGAAAAAUAACAAACAGCUCAUCCCCUUUUCUGCAAAGAAAGACUGAAUGUAGGAAACAGGAUGUUAGCUAAGUUUGAGUAGAUUGUAAGUAGAUACGUUUUGUUUUUCAUAAUUUAAAGUUCAAGUUGCUUUGCCCCUACGAUGACAUGGUAGAGACUUGUUUGAUUAUUUGUAGUGCUGCCAGUGCAGCAUGUUUAUUUUAUUUUGUUGUUUUUUUUUGUUUUAUGUAAUGUUAAUUCAAGUAAAGUUUGAUACAACAUAAUUAGACUGUUCAGAUCUGAUGCCCUAGUGAACAAUGGGUUUGUAUAAAUAUAUUGUUAAUAAAACAACUUUCUCUAA
Molecule: long non-coding RNA, 548 nt
Organism: Ctenopharyngodon idella (grass carp)
Lineage: Eukaryota; Metazoa; Chordata; Actinopteri; Cypriniformes; Xenocyprididae
Exons: 2
Source: RefSeq, a predicted model, not a curated record